GAAGGGUGGGCAAUAGAAAUCUAAGUGGUUUAAUAAUAUAUUUGGAAAAAUAAGACUUAGUCAUCUUAAGUGAAAACACUUCAUCUCCAUUACAUUCUUUUAAGCCACAAGAUUGAUCAGAGAAGAAAAAAGUCUCAUUUGGACAUGGAUUAUCUUUUGCUGGAAUUAUAGAAGUAUAGCUCAUCCUCAGCCUAGGCAGACCCUGGAGUGGGUCCACUUUUGACAUUAAAUCUACCUACGGCAAUCAGGGAUGGGUUUCUGCUGGAGUAAAUUCCAUUUCUUACAACUAUCCAGGGAAGCCGAACGAUACAGCAAGAACCUUGGAUGCUUCCUCAGCAUGUAACUGCCUACACAGGAGAAGAUCUGACUGGCAGGAUGAAUGGAACAGAUCAGUCUGACCAGGAAACAGCCAAGGCCAAGCACCAAGGUCAAGAGCACCCAGAGUUGACUGAUUGGCACAAAGGCUGAACCACCAUUCUCUUUCCAAUUAAAGUCCCACAAGGAAAAUGCUGAUGUUUCUCCUCCAGAAACCAGCUUUUUGGCACUUUCCCAAAGAACCCACCAUGGUCUGAAGCCACAGGUUCACAGCACUGAGAUUCCGUGGCUUUGUUUUCUCCAAGAGGAUAAAAGGCCUAUAAAUGAUAGACGUUUUCAACUGUUAUUUUUGCACUAGGAAAGAGAAUACAUAAAAUAUAUUCUCUCAGAAUGGGACAUGAGAACUGUAUGCCAUUUGAUCACAGGGAAAUGGGGGUUCUUCCCAUUGAUGACAUUCCUGCCUUUGCGGUGUGAAGGGGCAUAUGGACAACCGGCCAUCACGGUGAAGCCCCCAUGACCAUGAACUACAAUUCGGCUUCUACCUUAACUUGCCCCAUGGCUCAGGGGACGGACCUGAACAACCCAGCCUCUCCAUUUUUCUCACACCAGUAAAUUCCAAAAUUGACUGUCCUGCAUGGCAAGGAAGAGGUCCCUCCAUUCUAGACAUGGGUGUGGUCAUUUUGGGGAGCAAGAUGCACAGGCACCUUUAAGAACAUUCUGGACAAAUCCUAACGGGUAUGAACACUGACAAGGAGAAAAUUAGGAGCUUCUAUUAAACAACUGAGGAAGGCUUGAGUGUGUCCUACCCUUCAGGGUGUGUUGAUAUAAUGAGCACCCUUUAGAUUUUUCCAGUAAUAAGUAAAAGGAAGCUUCAUAUCACGUACUAAAAUAAAUUUCAAUCUAACCAAAGAAAUCUCGUAUCUACAUAAGAAAUCUCUCAAAGGCUAUUUGAAAUGAAGUAAAUUUAAAAAAAAGCCAAUAAAUUAUUUUUGUAAGAAAUAUUGAAGAGCCAUCGCAGGAAAGACAUCUAAUAAGUUGUAAAAUAAAGUUAUCUUCAGGUAAACAUGAGAAGGCCCAGCUUUUCCCAAGAAAGUUGAGUAAUUUUCUUUUUCCUGGGAAUGUUUUAUCAAGCAAUGAGAUUCCAAAUAAAUUUGAGUUGAAAACAAACUGAACUGGAAGUCCCAAUAUCACCUAGCUUAUGCGUGUCCUAUUAUGUCAAUGCAUAUCAAAAAACACAGUCACCUACUUCUAAACAUAAGAAGAAAAACAUCCUAGGGCGCCUGGGUGGCUCAGUCAGUUAAGCUGCUGACUUCGGCUCAGGUCACGAUCUCCCGGUUCAGGAGUCCGAGCCCUGUGUUGGGCUCUGUGCUGACAGUGCAGGGCCUGGAGCCUGCUUCAGAUUCUGUGUCUCCCUCUCUCUCUGUCCCUUCCCCACUCAUGAUCUGUCUCUC
Molecule: long non-coding RNA, 1766 nt
Organism: Neofelis nebulosa (Clouded leopard)
Lineage: Eukaryota; Metazoa; Chordata; Mammalia; Carnivora; Felidae
Exons: 2
Source: RefSeq, a predicted model, not a curated record